This 65-nucleotide transfer RNA is filed under the name Bipalium vagum. RNAcentral's name for it is "tRNA-Gln". The record is from RNAcentral. Lineage: Eukaryota; Metazoa; Platyhelminthes; Tricladida; Geoplanidae.
AUUUUUUGGGUGUUUAUGCAUAUAAAAUUUUGAGUUUUAAGGAAUAUUUAAUAGUGUAAAAAGUA